This 472-nucleotide ribosomal RNA is filed under the name uncultured bacterium. Its description in RNAcentral is "SSU rRNA". It matches the Rfam family "Bacterial small subunit ribosomal RNA", at positions 26 to 518 of the family's 1533-position model. The record is from RNAcentral.
AGGAUAAACGCUGGCGGCGUGCCUAACACAUGCAAGUCGAACGUCUCUUCUUUCGGGAAGAGGAGUGGCGGACGGGUGAGGAACACGUGGGAACCUGCCCUUCAGUGAGGAAUACCGGCGAGAAAUCGCCGACAAGACCGCAUAGCCCUCUCUGGUGAGAGCCAGAGAAGGAAAGCCUCGCAAGUAGGCGCUGGAGGAGGGGCCUGCGUCCGAUUAGCUAGUUGGUGGGGUAAGAGCCUACCAAGGCGUCGAUCGGUAGCUGGUCUGAGAGGACGAUCAGCCACACUGGGAUUGAGAACGGCCCAGACUCCUACGGGGGGCAGCAGUGAGGAAUUUUCGGCAAUGGACGAAAGUCUGACCGAGCGACGCCGCGUGGAGGAUGACGCCUUUCGGGGUGUAAACUCCUUUUCUGCGGGAAGAUAAUGACGGUACCGCAGGAAUAAGCACCGGCUAACUACGUGCCAGCAGCCGC